Molecule: regulatory RNA element, 55 nt
Organism: Pan troglodytes (chimpanzee)
Lineage: Eukaryota; Metazoa; Chordata; Mammalia; Primates; Hominidae
Rfam family: Ma3 gene ribosomal frameshift signal
Source: Rfam
GGGAAAUGUGUGUGGGGUUUGGUGAGCCACCUCAACCCUUACAAGAUUAGGCUCA